UUGACCUCNAAUCAGGUAGGACUACCCGCUGAACUUAAG
This 39-nucleotide ribosomal RNA is filed under the name Boletus edulis. Its description in RNAcentral is "partial 28S ribosomal RNA". The record is from RNAcentral. Lineage: Eukaryota; Fungi; Basidiomycota; Agaricomycetes; Boletales; Boletaceae.